RNAcentral lists this transfer RNA (69 nucleotides) under Geukensia demissa (ribbed mussel). Its description in RNAcentral is "tRNA-Gln". The record is from RNAcentral. Lineage: Eukaryota; Metazoa; Mollusca; Bivalvia; Mytilida; Mytilidae.
UGCGGAAUAGUAUUAUAUGUAUAAAAGAUUUUGGAUCUUUUGGUUUAAGAUUUUCUCUUUUUUCCUCAU